GACGAACGCUGGCGGCGUGCUUAACACAUGCAAGUCGAACGGAAAGGCCCUGCUUUGGUGGGGUGCUCGAGUGGCGAACGGGUGAGUAACACGUGAGUAACCUGCCCUUGACUUUGGGAUAACUUCAGGAAACUGGGGCUAAUACCGGAUAGGAGCUCCUGCUGCAUGGUGGGGGUUGGAAAGUUUCGGCGGUUGGGGAUGGACUCGCGGCUUAUCAGCUUGUUGGUGGGGUAGUGGCUUACCAAGGCUUUGACGGGUAGCCGGCCUGAGAGGGUGACCGGCCACAUUGGGACUGAGAUACGGCCCAGACUAGUACGGGAGGCAGCAGUGGGGAAUAGUGCACAAUGGGAGGAAGCCUGAUGCAGCAAAGCCGCGUGCGGGAUGACGGCCAUCGGGUUGUAAACCGCUUUCGCCUGUGACGAAGCGUGAGUGACGGUAAUGGGUAAAGAAGCACCGGCUAACUACGUG
This 468-nucleotide ribosomal RNA is filed under the name uncultured bacterium. Its description in RNAcentral is "partial 16S ribosomal RNA". It matches the Rfam family "Bacterial small subunit ribosomal RNA", at positions 28 to 507 of the family's 1533-position model. The record is from RNAcentral.